This 1108-nucleotide long non-coding RNA is filed under the name Lonchura striata (white-rumped munia). Its description in RNAcentral is "domestica (Bengalese finch) lncRNA (ENSLSDG00000000320.1)". Lineage: Eukaryota; Metazoa; Chordata; Aves; Passeriformes; Estrildidae. The record is from RNAcentral.
CCGCGCCCCGCCACGGCCGCGGCACCUCGGCGGUGCCCACGGCCCGGAGCCCCCGAGCCGCCGGGUGGCACCUCCCGGGUGGCCCGGCCACGCUCGGAGGUGGCCCAAGGUCCUGACGAGUCCCAGGUGUCCCUGGUGGGGUCACAGGUGUCCCUGCCAGGGUCAGAGGUGGCUCUGGGUCCUCUGACACCCCCCAGGUGUCCCUGGUGGAAGGUGGCCCCGGGUCCUGAACCCCCUCAGGUGUCCCUGGCAUGGUCACAGGUGUCCCUGCCAGGCUUGGAGGUGGCUCUGGGUCCUCUGACACCCCCAGGUGUCCCUGCCAGGGAGUGGCCCCGGGUCCUGACCCUCCCCAGGUGUCCCCGGCAGGGUCACAGUUGUCCCUGCCAGGCUCGGAGGUGGCUCCAGAUCCUGACACCACCCUGAUGUCCCUGGCAUGGUCACAGUUGUCCCUGCCAGGCUCGGAGGUGGCUCCGGGUCCUCUGACACCCCCAGGUGUCCCUGCCAGGGGUGGCCCCGGGUCCCCCCGGUGUCCCCGUCGGGCUCGGAGGCGGCGGCUCCAGCGGGGCCAUCCCGGCGGCGCUCCCGGAGAAAGGAAGGAAGGAAAGGAGGAAAGGAGGAAGGAAGGAAAGGAGGAAGGAAUGAAAGGAAGAAGGGCCGGGACGGCUCCAGCGGCGGCCGUGCCACCCCGAGCCGUGCCAGGCCGUGCCAGGAGAGCCCCCCCCGCCAGGCGGAUCCCCCCGGACUCUGAGCUGCGGGUGAGAGGGAGCGAGGAGCGCAUGGAUCGAAGCAUGUUUGGGAAUGUCGGGAGGCUGGGGAGGGGGGGAAAAUCCCGCAGCAAAAAAAGAAGAAAAAAAAAAACUAACAAAAAAACGACACAAAAAAAAAAAAGCUUUGGCAAAGUUUAGAGGGGAGGGGGCGGGGGGGUGGGAAAAGUUUGAUUUUUCUCUUGGCUUGGGGUCUUGUUUUUCCAAAGUGGGGGGGAAAGCGUUGAUGGGAAAUUAUUUAAUCUCCGUGCAUUUAUCUAGAGAGCAGCUGAUAAGCCCCACGAGAUAACGAAUUCCAGGAUCCUCCCCCCCUCCCCCUCCCCCACCCCUUCCGCCCCCCCCCC